GGAUGAACGCUGGCGGCGUGCCUACUCCAUGCAAGUCGAGCGAACGGACGAGAAGCUUGCUUCUCUGAUGUUAGCGGCGGACGGGUGAGUAACACGUGGAUAACCUACCUAUAAGACUGGGAUAACUUCGGGAAACCGUAGCUAAUACCGGAUAAUAUUUUGAACCGCAUGGUUCAAAAGUGAAAGACGGUCUUGCUGUCACUUAUAGAUGGAUCCGCGCUGCAUUAGCUAGUUGGUAAGGUAACGGCUUACCAAGGCAACGAUGCAUAGCCGACCUGAGAGGGUGAUCGGCCACACUGGAACUGAGACACGGUCCAGACUCCUACGGGAGGCAGCAGUAGGGAAUCUUCCGCAAUGGGCUAAAGCCUGACGGAGCAACGCCGCGUGAGUGAUGAAGGUCUUCGGAUCGUAAAACUCUGUUAUUAGGGAAGAACAUAUGUGUAAGUAACUGUGCACAUCUUGACGGUACCUAAUCAGAAAGCCACGGCUAACUACGUG
This 498-nucleotide ribosomal RNA is filed under the name uncultured bacterium. RNAcentral describes it as "partial 16S ribosomal RNA". It matches the Rfam family "Bacterial small subunit ribosomal RNA", at positions 27 to 507 of the family's 1533-position model. The record is from RNAcentral.